UACGUAGGGGGCAAGCGUUGUCCGGAUUUACUGGGCGUAAAGAGCGUGUAGGCGGCCAAGCAGGUCCGUUGUGAAAACUGGAGGCUUAACCUCCAGACGUCGACGGAAACCGCGUGGCUAGAGUCCGGAGGAGGAGAGUGGAAUUCCUGGUGUAGCGGUGAAAUGCGCAGAUAUCAGGAAGAACACCAAUGGCGAAGGCAGCUCUCUGGGACGGUACUGACGCUGAGACGCGAAAGCGUGGGGAGCGAACAGG
Molecule: ribosomal RNA, 253 nt
Filed under: uncultured bacterium
Lineage: Bacteria
Description: partial 16S ribosomal RNA
Rfam family: Bacterial small subunit ribosomal RNA
Source: RNAcentral